RNAcentral lists this long non-coding RNA (570 nucleotides) under Panax ginseng (ginseng). RNAcentral describes it as "long non-coding RNA (PGIN_LNC014664)". The record is from RNAcentral. Lineage: Eukaryota; Viridiplantae; Streptophyta; Magnoliopsida; Apiales; Araliaceae.
UACGGAAGUACUAAAGGAUACAAACAAUGCCUUGGAAGAUGACAUUCGGCCGUUUACGACAAGGACUGACAUUCCCUCAAGAUAUAAGGGUACAAUAUCUCAUCGAAGGACCAUUACAACACUCAGAGGAUCAGAUGCAGAAUUCGGGUUGUCUCUGACCUCUGCAUCAGUUUCUGGAAAGGCCUUGUCAUUUGAAUAUAUAUGCAAUUGCUUGUUUGUUCUUCAAGAUAUUUCUACUAUGUUAUUAGCGUGCGAUCAUUAUAGUGAACAUGCUAAAGAGAAACUGUUUUUUAGCUCAUUAGGUUCUGUCAAUGCUAUUUCUGAUUGGAUAUUACGAAAAUUGCGAGGUUUGCUCAUGGUCAUUUCACUUGAUUGUACAAAACUUGAACUACUUGAAGAGGUAAACUGUAAGUGUCCCACAAAGAAGUCCAAAGAAAAACCUUGUGCUGGUAGCCGUAGGAAGAAAGGAAAAACCCGAAAUACAAAAAGGGUGAUUGCUGCUCCAGAAUCUGCAUGUGAUGUUCCCAAACUGGAUAACCCUUCUAAGGUACCAUUCCGUCUUCACAGACU